RNAcentral lists this ribosomal RNA (579 nucleotides) under Bacillus cereus. RNAcentral's name for it is "partial 23S ribosomal RNA". It matches the Rfam family "Bacterial large subunit ribosomal RNA", at positions 1 to 573 of the family's 2925-position model. The record is from RNAcentral. Lineage: Bacteria; Bacillati; Bacillota; Bacilli; Caryophanales; Bacillaceae.
GGUUAAGUUAGAAAGGGCGCACGGUGGAUGCCUUGACACUAGGAGUCGAUGAAGGACGGGACUAACGCCGAUAUGCUUCGGGGAGCUGUAAGUAAGCUUUGAUCCGAAGAUUUCCGAAUGGGGAAACCCACCAUACGUAAUGGUAUGGUAUCCUUAUCUGAAUACAUAGGGUAAGGAAGACAGACCCAGGGAACUGAAACAUCUAAGUACCUGGAGGAAGAGAAAGCAAAUGCGAUUUCCUGAGUAGCGGCGAGCGAAACGGAACAUAGCCCAAACCAAGAGGCUUGCCUCUUGGGGUUGUAGGACAUUCUAUACGGAGUUACAAAGGAACGAGGUAGACGAAGCGACCUGGAAAGGUCCGUCGUAGAGGGUAACAACCCCGUAGUCGAAACUUCGUUCUCUCUUGAAUGUAUCCUGAGUACGGCGGAACACGUGAAAUUCCGUCGGAAUCUGGGAGGACCAUCUCCCAAGGCUAAAUACUCCCUAGUGAUCGAUAGUGAACCAGUACCGUGAGGGAAAGGUGAAAAGCACCCCGGAAGGGGAGUGAAAGAGAUCCUGAAACCGUGUGCCUACAAAUAG